CCUACGGGUGGCAGCAGUGAGGAAUAUUGGUCAAUGGGCGGAAGCCUGAACCAGCCAAGUCGCGAGAGGGAGUAAGGCCCUACGGGUCGUAAACCUCUUUUGCCGGGGAGCAGUGCCCAGCUCGUGAGCUGGGAGGGAGCGUACCCGGAGAAAAAGCAGCGGCAAACUCCGUGCCAGCAGCCGCGGUAAUCCGGAGGAUGCGAGGGUUAUCGGGAUUUAGUGGGGUUAAAGGGGGCGUGGGCGGGCAUUCAGGCCGGCGGUAAAAUUGCGGGGCUAAACCCCGCCGGGCCGUAGAAACGGGGGGCCUUGAGUACCGGAGAGGUACGCGGAAUGCGUGGUGUAGCGGUGAAAUGCAUAGAUAUCACGCAGAACCCCGAUUGCGAAGGCAGCGUACCGGCCGGUCACUGACGCUGAGGCACGAAAGCGCGGGUAUCGAACAGGAUUAGAUACCCCUGUAGUC
Molecule: ribosomal RNA, 460 nt
Filed under: uncultured bacterium
Lineage: Bacteria
Description: partial 16S ribosomal RNA
Rfam family: Bacterial small subunit ribosomal RNA
Source: RNAcentral